This 384-nucleotide unclassified non-coding RNA is filed under the name Hevea brasiliensis (rubber tree). The record is from RNAcentral. Lineage: Eukaryota; Viridiplantae; Streptophyta; Magnoliopsida; Malpighiales; Euphorbiaceae.
UACAACAGGAGAAAAAAUGACUAAAUAUUACAGAACUGUAUCCUCAGAUAAAAAGAUUUAUAUAACAUUUACAGGGGCUUCCUCUUCUUUGUCAUUCUCUGCAACUUCCUCCACUUCAAGUAAAUCUGGUAAGAUAAUCCGGAGAACACCAUGCCGACGCUUGUCCAUUGCUUUUCUGACAGUGGAUUGCCACUUAACACAGAAGAUACUACUAUGCUCACAAACUUGCGUGUUGUAGUGAUGGUUGUGUUGGUCAGAGAACCAAAUCGACUAAUGGUUAGGAAAAUGAAGUUCUGUCCCACAGCGCCGCACAGACAGUAAAGAAGAAUGUCCCAUGCUGCCUCUGGAUGCUGCUUACAGAACUGAACUGCCUCAUAGCCGCUG